This is a long non-coding RNA of Capsicum annuum, 626 nucleotides long. RefSeq lists it as uncharacterized. The record is from RefSeq and is a predicted model, not a curated record. The transcript has 2 exons. NCBI's taxonomy places the organism in Eukaryota, Viridiplantae, Streptophyta, Magnoliopsida, Solanales, Solanaceae.
AUGGGUUAUAUUUAGUUUGAAGAGAAAGAGCCACGAUAUUACAAGAUAAAAGAAGGGCAUAGCUCUUUCAAUUCCGUAUCCCAACAAGUUCUGCUAUAUUCUCUAGCAAUUCAAGUUGAUAACGACAAAUGGGAUCCCCCUUUUGCUACUGGGGUAGCCGAAAGCUUCAAUUGCUCGAGCUCUAUCCUGGUUUUGCCUCAAUGGGGUCGUCAUCAUACUUUAUUACGAGCUUUGCCCAGUUGCUAUAAUCAACUUCUUGACAUUGGUAAUCCUUACUUGUCUGAAAUUUUCUUGAGUUCCACUAUAAUAAAUACUGGCAUGAUCGCCAGUGACAGAACUGUCAUUUGAGGCCUUUGGCAUACUCAAUAGCUUCCUUGGACACAAACUCACAGUCACAGUGAUAUUGUUUGCCCAACGUGUAAUGAGCUUCAUAGUCUUUUCAGCCACUAGGCAGUAAUUUUCUGUCCUUGAGGUUGUUGGUCUCCACAACAAGGAGCCAACUAAGACAGUUCAAUUGUGGGCUGCGAUGACCUACAGUGCUGGUCUACGGCGUUAGACGAGACAAAUAUAAAUUUGAACUGUAAAUUGCAGAUUUUGUGAUUUUACUUAGUUGUUUGCCUCUUUAA